CUUUCCCUUCGGGGACAAAGUGACAGGUGGUGCAUGGUUGUCGUCAGCUCGUGUCGUGAGAUGUUGGGUUAAGUCCCGCAACGAGCGCAACCCUUAAUUUUAGUUGCCAGCAUUUAGUUGGGCACUCUAAAGUGACUGCCGGUGCAAGCCGGAGGAAGGUGGGGAUGACGUCAAAUCAUCAUGCCCCUUAUGACCUGGGCUACACACGUGCUACAAUGGAUAGUACAAAGGGUCGCGAAGCCGCGAGGUGGAGCUAAUCCCAUAAAACUAUUCUCAGUUCGGAUUGUAGGCUGCAACUCGCCUACAUGAAGCCGGAAUCGCUAGUAAUCGUGGAUCAGCAUGCCACGGUGAAUACGUUCCCGGGCCUUGUACACACCGCCCGUCACACCACGAGAGUUUGUAACACCCGAAGUCGGUAGGGUAACCUUUAUGGAGCCAGCCGCCGAAGGUGGGACAGAUAAUUGGGGUGAAGUCGUAACAAGGUAGCCGUAUCGGAAGGUGCGGCUGGAUCACCUCCUUUCUAAGGAA
RNAcentral lists this ribosomal RNA (528 nucleotides) under Listeria swaminathanii. Its description in RNAcentral is "partial 16S ribosomal RNA". It matches the Rfam family "Bacterial small subunit ribosomal RNA", at positions 1012 to 1533 of the family's 1533-position model. Lineage: Bacteria; Bacillati; Bacillota; Bacilli; Caryophanales; Listeriaceae. The record is from RNAcentral.